Juglans microcarpa x Juglans regia is the source of this 75-nucleotide small nucleolar RNA. RefSeq annotates it as small nucleolar RNA snoR60. NCBI's taxonomy places the organism in Eukaryota, Viridiplantae, Streptophyta, Magnoliopsida, Fagales, Juglandaceae. The transcript has a single exon. The record is from RefSeq and is a predicted model, not a curated record.
UAGCAAAAUCUAUGUGAGUUACUUGGGUUUCCCUUCAACAUGUUAUGAUUGAUGCAAGCUCACGUUUCAGAUGCU